UGGAAAUUAUUUUUUAAGAAUGGAGUGAGCACAAGAAAUCAUCUAAAGUUGAUGAUUAGAGCGAGAUUUCUGAAUGAAAAAUUGUUUACACAUAGAAAAGAUAAAAUGAACUGACCAGACAUAAAUAAUUGCUACGGAUAACAGAAUUUAUUUCACAGGAUUAUAAAUCAUCAUGGUGCAAUAGAAUCUGUUCUGAUGUGAAAACAUCAUUGAUAUUGGUCUGUGCUGUGUAAUAAUGUAUC
Cinara cedri is the source of this 242-nucleotide non-coding RNA. NCBI's taxonomy places the organism in Eukaryota, Metazoa, Arthropoda, Insecta, Hemiptera, Aphididae. The record is from the annotation of a GenBank genome assembly.